RNAcentral lists this long non-coding RNA (3845 nucleotides) under Salmo salar (Atlantic salmon). RNAcentral's name for it is "lncRNA (ENSSSAG00000098041.1)". Lineage: Eukaryota; Metazoa; Chordata; Actinopteri; Salmoniformes; Salmonidae. The record is from RNAcentral.
UGUAUGUUUUUGCAGCUGGCAUCAAGACAAGGAGCAGGCAUGGAGGCUGAUAGUGAGUGAAACAGGCAAAGCUCAAGGCAGUGGAGGCUCCUCCAACCAGGCUCCGGCAUUAGGGAGUUGAGCAUGCAGAGUGGCAAGGCCAAGGCAAGGAACUCACUACUGAGAAGACUGCAUGUCUACGUCCCGAAAGAUGUGGUAUGCAGUGCACUCCUCCCUCAUCAUGGCUCUACAGUAUUCCCUCUCCCAGUCAGAACAACCCAGGCGGCCUCUACUCCUCUUAUCAGAUGGAGUCAGGCAGGCAGGAUGGGACGGGGACAGUGUGGAUCCAGCUGCUCCCAGGAGCAGGGUGCAGGCCCACGUAAUAGGUCUGCUGGCAUCCCAGGCCUCGCCCCACUGGCAUCCCAGUCACAGCCAGGCAGGCUGCUCCAUGGGUGGCACACCUUGGAAACAGGCGGCAGAGACAGAGGAGGUGGACACGGGGGAGACAGGUGAAGGGAACCUUCAACGCCGGGUGACUCUAGAGUUCCCAGUUGUCUUGAAAGCACCAUAAAUCCAGAGAAUGCCAGACUUUGAUGACAACAUUUGCCCACAAAAGACCGCCGCGCCGCCUUCCUGUUCAAGUGAGCACAGCACAACAAGCUUGUCAGGCAAGACCUCAGAAUAAAAUGCGACACAUGUACACUUGUGACACCUCCUUCGUUGUUGCCAGUCUCCCUCGCCUCCUAUGAAAAGGACAUGCCAUCACGAGGCCUCUGACAGUGGCCCGAGUUACAGCCCAUAUGACGCAGACGGCUUCAUCAACGACAGGCCCUCCCAGUCCACAGCACCUUAUAAUAUUGCCUGCUGCAGUUGUUCGAGAGAUGUCCAGUUUGCAGCCGAACAUGCAGCAUAGAGAAGACCAGCAAGGGGGCCCUUAUCAGCAUCAUGCAGACAUGCCCUCACUGUGAGUAUUCCUAUGAAUGGAACAGUCAGCCACUUGUUGGCAAGUAUCAGCCCAGCAACCCUCACCUGUCGGUGGCAACAGCUUACACAGGCUCAUCAUUUGUACAAAUACAGAAGGUAACCCACUUUAUUACUUUGAUACAUUUGAUAGCCCAAUUGUGAAACCUAAUUUAUGUAAACAGACAUUACUUGUUGAUUAUUUUAUACUUCUUAGAUGCAUACAAUGUCCAGGGCAUAACCUAGCCUGGUGGAUCCAGUCUGAUCACUGUGUUCACCAUUCUAUUUCACUUCACAUUUUAUGAUAUCUGAAGUGAAAUAGAAAGGAGAAUGCAGCGAUCAGGUUGGGUCCACCAGGCUAAUCAUAACCAACAUUGAUCAUGUAAUCAGUGCUCUGUGUGUGUGUGUGUUUGUGUUUGACCGACCAGUAUCUUUGAUGAGGGGCUGAUCUAUGCUGCUAUGCCCGUCAAUGGGGCUCUGUCAAAGAAUCUCACCUCCAGCCUCACCACUUGCAUGUUCACCAACGGUCGUCGAAGGGGAGAAGAGAAUUAUAAACAUGUAUGGAGCCAGCACAUAGAGACUUGCAAAAUGAUGUGAUGAAGUUCAGACUCACGGACGAGCUUCUCUCAAAGGAGAUAUACCUGGAACUCAGCAUAACAUUUUUACUAGACAUAACUUUUACUUGGGUCUUUUUUAUUAUUUAAUUGAAUGGUAUCAUUCAAUACGGGCAGGGAGAAACCCUGUGUAUUCUGCACCAGGAUCAGGGAACUCCUGUUGUACACGGGACACCACACAGGAAGAUAUGACCACUCUGACAUGUUUGCCAAGGUAGCCUCACUACCACCAGACAAAAUGCCGAUAGGCACAGUAUCUGUAUCGGCUGGGAAUGACAAUGGUGCACAUUGUUAUAUGUGACUCGUUUCAGGAAAGUAGGCAUAUGUCGCGUGUCACUACUUCACAGGAGCGCUAUUUGAACGUAAACAAUGUUUUUAAAAUCAAAAUGCGUUUUGGGGGAAUAAAAUUGUUAAAUUACGAGCCUAGUUGGUUUAGCCAUGGAAAAAGACAGAAACUUUCCCGCUAGCCAUGAUUGACUGAGAUAAUGAGUGGUUUGGACAUGCCGAGAGAUGAGUUCGGAUUGGUCUACCAUGUAGCACGCUUCUGUCUAUAAUAUGAGCUGGUCAGUAUGUGUAGGUAAUCCUUUCCAACGUGGCUUUUUUGAAAGAUAUCACAUAGUAGAACUGCAUAAGUGUUGCUCUCCACUUUCUGGAGGACUGAGUUUUGAAAUCAGUGGAAUUAGAGUAUGAUAGCUAAGGAGAUGGAGAAAAUUCUGCCGUUUGAUUGGAAAUAUGCAGACGGAGUCGAAAAGAGAACACAGAAGGCUCCGGAUUACAUCUUCAAACUAAGAGCAACCAUGGCAUCCCUGACAGAGAAGGAGAAGCGUCCAUCCAUGUAUAUGGGUAAGAGAGUCUAGCUAGCUAAAUUUUCAGAUAUUACACAUUUCUAAUUUUGUCAGAAAGUAAUUUUCAUUUGAAGUUAAAGUGUACUGUUAGCUAGCUAGCUAACGUUAGCUGGCUGGCUAGCUAGCUAAUGUUACGGGUAUGAUCUUUGUGGUAAUUUUAUUCAUAUCUCAGAGCCAUUUGCAUUGCUAGUUAUAGCCUGAUGUUAGCUAGCUAACAAUGAACCUGGUUGGUUUGCUACCUGCAGAUUCAUGCAGGGUAGUAAUGUCAUGAGAUGGUAUUAUGGUUCAUUGUUUAGCUAGCUAGCUACAUGUCUUAACAAAAGACCACUAUGCAAGUAACUAUUUCAAUAGAAUGUUAAUGAUGUCACUGUGACAACUGUCGAUAGACGUAGCUAGUCAAUUCGCUCUGGCUAUCUACUCUGAUUUCAGAGCACUCUCGUCUGAGUGUGCCAGAGCGCAGAAUAACUGAUGAAUUUACGAAUGCUCAACACCCGUUGAACAUGGCCGGUGUCAGUAAAUGUUGGCAAAAAAUGAGUAAUUAAAUUGUUGCCAGCAGCACAGUUAAAGUUACCAACGCUCUGAAUAACAUGAAAACAGCCUAAUCAGCUCUGCUAGGGAGAGUAAAACGGUCAGAGUGAGGUGUUCUCUCAUUUGUGUCUGAAAGUAUCUAGCCAGUUAGCUUGGGUGCUUGACUGCCGUUGUGAGGUCAGAGCUCUCUGAUCAACCCUACUCCUCGGCCAGUGUCCAGUGUGCGAACAACAAUCUGACAAGGCUCUGAAUUUACGAACGCCCAGAGCGCACUCUGGCACUCCAGAUAAAAUGUAAGAACACACCCGUAGUAUAAACUAGCCUUUAGUCUUGAAAUCUUUGGUUGUUUAGUACAUGGCCUCACAUGUGAAUCCUCAAAGAGAUGGGUGGGGCUAAAGCUUAAGAGGGUGAGAAUGAUGCUGAAUGGGUGUAGACAAAGAAGAGCUCUCCAGUAGGUACCAAAACACUGAAGGGCCAUUUUCUCAAAAGUGAGGUUACAAGUUUAUAAACUUACAAAGCAGAAUUACUUUCCCAUUGUUCCUCAACUGUAGUGUAUUAUAUAAAAAUGUUUGUAGCUCUGAGUCUCUACUUUUAUCCAAUGUAAAAAACACAAUUUAAAAUUUUACUACAUAAGACCGAAUCGAGCCGGUCUGUCACAUAUUAGCAGAACACUGUUUAUUCUACAUGGACGUGUUACUACAAUUGAAAGUAAUCAAAACAGUUAUGAAUAUCUACAUACAUUCAGCAAUUGCAUUCUCUUAUUACUCUGUAGGCUGCUGACCUGUUCAAAGUUCAUUUGCUGUCAUUUGAUUGCUGUUUUGUUUCAUAUUGUGUUUGAUUGUUGUGUUGCUGUGAUCAGGGAACCCUUGUGAAUGAAACCCUAAAAUAAAUAAAUAUACACUUUUUUCUGGCAUCUCAC